RNAcentral lists this ribosomal RNA (5992 nucleotides) under Triticum aestivum (bread wheat). RNAcentral describes it as "partial small subunit ribosomal RNA". The record is from RNAcentral. Lineage: Eukaryota; Viridiplantae; Streptophyta; Magnoliopsida; Poales; Poaceae.
AAAGAGGAUAACAUGCAAAAACCAAAGCCUCGCAAGAACCUCUCCUUCCCCCUCCCCUUCCCAUGGAGCUCGCCCUCCCUCCCUUCCCCUCUCUCCUCCCCAAAUCCCACCACCUCCAGCCCCAUCCGCCCUCCCGGCCUCGCCAUGGCCGCCUCCAAGAACCGGCCAUGGCGCUGGCCCAAGCUCCGCCGCCCUGGCUGGCGCUCUCGCUCGACGAGGCGAGAAGCGCCCAUGUCCCUCACCACGCGCGGCCCGUCCAAGAGACAAGAGCUCGCCCGCCCGCCUCCUUCGCGCGCGGGGAGCCCCGGUUCGUCUCGGAGACCAAGCUCAUCACGUUCCACUCCUCCGCGGGGCGCCUGGGCGCCGCCCGCGAGGUGUUCGACGGAAUGGGCCACAGGGACCUGCUCGCCUGGUCGGCCAUGAUCGGCGCGUACGCCACCAGGGGCAUCUUCCACGAGGUGCUCGCGCUCGCGGUGAGCAUGAUCGGCGAAGGCGUGCUCCCCGACAGGUUCUUGAUCACUCGGAUUUUGCAGGCGUGUGCCUACGCCGAGGACCAGAGGCUCGGGAGCGUGCUGCACUCCAUGGCUAUCCGGAGAGGGUUUAUGGGCAGGGUGAAGGAUGUGCCUGUGGGGAACUCGGUGCUGGUGAUGUAUGUCAAAUGUGGAGAGCUGGGGCGCGCGCGUGCGGUGUUUGACAAGAUGAGGCGCCGGGACCUGGGCACGUGGAACUCGAUGAUCUUUGGGUGCUGCAGGUCUUGCCAGUGGGAGGAAGCGCGGAGGCUUCUUGAUGAGAUGAGGCGGGAAGGGACAGAGCCAGGGGUUGUCACAUGGAACACAUUGAUUUCGAGCUAUGCCAGGUCUGGGGAUCUUGAUGUGGCCGUGGACCUGCUGGGACAGAUGGAAGAGUGUGGAGUAGAGCCAGAUGUUGUCACGUGGACAAGCCUUGUGUCAGGUUUCGUUCAUAGCGAUAGAGGGGAUGAGGCACUUCAGUGUUUUAUCCGGAUGCGUGUGGCUGGAGUGGAACCAAAUGGCAUGACAAUUGCAUGUGCCAUCUCAGCUUGUGCGAGUUUGAAGUUAUUGAGACAGGGAAGCCAGCUCCAUUGCCAUGCGAUUAAGAUUGGGACUGUAAACAACGUCUUGUCAGGGAACUCCUUGGUUGACAUGUAUGCUAAAUGUGACGAAAUAGUCGCAGCAUAUAGAAUAUUUAAUGAGAUACCCGAGAAGGACAUCUUCUCCUGGAAUUCAAUGGUUGCAGGGUAUGCGCAAGCGGGAUACUGUGGCAAGGCGUACGAACUCUUCUGCAAGAUGGAAAGUUAUGGUAUCCAGCGCAAUGCGAUAACCUGGAAUACAAUGAUAUCAGGGUACAUACGGAAUGGGGAUGACGAGAGAGCUUUUGAACUAUUCCAGACCAUGGAAAGUUAUGGAGUGAAAAAGGACACAGCUUCCUGGAACAUACUCAUUGCUGGUUCAGUGCAUAAUGGAUAUUUUGAUAGAGCCCUAAGAAUAUUUCGGCAGAUGCAAUCAGUUCUGAUAAAGCCCGACUACAUUACAAUCCUAAGUAUCAUCCCAGCGUUCGCAAAUCUGGUGGCAGCGUGGAAAGUACGGGAGAUCCAUGCCUGUAUUUUUCACCACAACUUAGAAAUGGAUGGGAAAAUCGCAAAUGCGCUUAUUAAUGCCUAUUCAAAAUCUGGUGAUCUUGCUGGUGCUUGUGCUGUUUUUGAUAGGCACUCAUCAAGGAACACUAUUUCAUGGAAUUGCAUCAUUGUUGCACAUUUGCUGCAUGGGUCUCCAACUAAAGUGGUGGAUUACUUCUUUAAAAUGAAGCAACAAGGUGUACUGCCAGAUCAUACAACUUUGACAGCUGUUAUCAGGGCCUACGGUAUGGAGGGGAUGGUAUCUGAAGGGAGAGAAAUAUUUCUCAAUAUGGACAAAGACUAUAAUGUAACUCCAGAUUUAGAUCAUUAUGCAGCAAUGGUAGACCUUCUUGGACGGUCUGGGAGACUGCAAGAGGCAUAUGCAAUUAUUGAUGAAAUGCCACUCGCACCCAAUUUAACACUGUGGGAGUCAUUACUAACCUCAGCAAGAAUGCAUGGAAAUGUAAGGCUGGCACUACUGGCGGCUACAGAGAUGUCCAUGAUUGAACCCAAUGAUCCUAGAAUCCAAGUAGUGGUUUCUAGUCUGCAGGAUCUUGCUGGACAAUCUUUUGAUGUGCCAAAGGUGACAAUACACAGCAAGGAAAGAAUGUUGGGUGGGGUUGAGAGUUGUUCAACAGAAAUCAGAAAUAUGGUAUAUUUGUUCUCAACUGGUGAUAAGGUUGCCUCGGAGCAUGAAGCAGCUGAAUUAAAAUUGAUGAUGAUUGAGAUGGGACCCUCUAUGCUUAGCGCUGGUAAUGGAACUCUAGAAGUGGAAGAAGAGAAGGAAGAACUUGCGGGAAUCCAUUGUGAGAAAUUAGCAAUUAUUGUUGGGAUUUUUAAUUCCCCUCACUUCAGAAGCAUACGGAUAAUCAAAACUGCAAGGAUGUGUAACCAUUGUCACACCUUCGCUAAGUUAGUUUCGGAGAAGUAUGGGCGUCAGAUACUGAUCAAGGAUCCGAAGUAUUUGCACAAGUUUGAGAAUGGUAAUUGCUCUUGUGAAGAUUAUUGGUAAACUCAACGGGUAUAAGUCAGCUGGGCAAAUGAGGCUGCCAGGUGGCUAGACUGAAAUGUUCCAGAUAUAGGAAUACAGCCAGCUAACUGUAUGAACAGUGUUGUUCAUCAUAUUUUUACAUCACAUACCUCAGCAAGAGGUUGCAUUGUAUUUGAAUUUUAUUGACGCUGAAUAUGGCCUCAACAUUAGUAUAAAGUUGACACUUGGCACUUGGGGGUUAGCCUUUCCAGGAAUUCUAUCUCCGGAUAAAACAUUAUUGCUCUGGUAUCAUUAAAACAAAGCCAUUCAGAUGAUACAUGCUCCCAGCAUUAGUGAAUUCAUUGUAAACGAAUUGGUAGCACAGAUCACUGCAAGUGGCACAACAUACAAGAUUAUGCUUAUAAUUCAACCACGUAUUGAAUGGUUGCAUGCCUCUAUGCAUAUGAUUAAUGGGAUUCGUCGAUGAUCUCCAGCUCAGAAGCAAUAUGACCUUGAAUAAUGAUUGGCCUCACUAAAGAAGCUUUCAUUAAGCACUAGGGCACUGCUGCUGCAAAUGGAAACAAUGUACAAAGUUUUUUGCCAUACCAUAAACCUUACUGAUACUGAAUUAGUAAGGUACUGCAGCUAUUGGCUAUAUUUGUUGGUCUAUCAAAUAUAGAAUCUAUACUUGGUGCUGCCCCUCAUUUCCCCCUCUUUUGAUCACCCAAUUCAGCAGAAAUUCUUUAUGGUGUAUCCUGCCAAACUGACCUAAUAAAUUCAAGAAUCUGUGUUCCAUUGAAUCAUCUCAGGUGCUUAUUCAUGUCGCUUUGUUUUCAAGCUAUGCUGUACAACCCUUUGUGUUGUAUUAAUGAUCAGAGAGCUAACUUGGUCUCAAGCUCAGAGCAAUGUCCUUGUUUAGAAGAAAUGAGUAUCACCAUCUCUUUCACAUGGCGCCUUCCUUUUUCCAUUUUGCUUUCUCAAUUGUCAAUUUAGUGAACCGAAGGGUAAGCAGGAGAAUUAUUCAAUUCGACUUUGCAUUUCACCGAAGUGGUACUUUUGUGUGUGCGGUUGGGGGAGUCUGUCAGUUACCAUGUCUGAGUAUCAAUCACAAAUAAGACAAUUUUUCAGAUCUGUACGGGUGCCCCUCUCCUCUUUAGGUUUACACAAAAAUUGCACACAUGUACUGUAUGAAACUUCAUGUAUAAUGGACGUGAAGUUUCUGAACAUGAGCACAUAUGUGCCCUUUAUCUGGGCGGUUGAAUAGAGCAUCAGGAUGUGCUGCAUUUAAUUCUGGUCGAGAUAUGGGUCCGCUCAUAAUGAUGGAGAUGUUCAUAUACGUACGCCGUGACUUCUGGGCUGUGGGUCAGGAUUGUAACAGAUGGACGAUCACUGUGGAUGGUUGGAAGCAGGGCUGUGGCUCAUGACGUCAUGUCCCUUCCCGAUCCGUGGAUCAGGAAACAUGCUUUCCAGCUACAGGGACAGAACCAUAGUAAAUGUGGGUGGCUGGGUGGUGUUGUCUCCUACCUCAGGCGGCUGGAUUUUUCCAUUAGCGAGAGCGGUCGUCUCGGUGGCGCACCUUCAGUGGGAACAAGACUGCCGCUGCCGGUGAAGAUGAAGUUCUUGAUGCAGCCGAUUAGAAGAUUCACCUUGCUAGAGGAGGUUAACGAUAGCGACAUCCUGAUGAAGCCGCUGCAUUACCAAGUCGCCCCACCGGUUGUCGAGCAGCAGCUCGCGUGGAUGCAGGCAGUGAGUGUCAACGGCCAGAUCUGCGACACAGGCGGCGGCAGAUGCUGAAAGGGAAGGCUCGCCGCAGGCAUCCGGGCAGUUGAUUGGCCAGAUGAACACUAAAGCUCCUGGAUGGGCCUGAAGGUAUGUCAGAAUUCAGGCGUACAGUCUGAAUUUCAUUAUAAAACUCUGAAAGUAAAGAGUCCUGGAACUUGUCACCAAUUACUAAGCUGGUGCACAGAUUAGUCAUGUAGGUAGUGUGACAUUUUAGUCCAGUAGUGCAUCUGCGCAAAAAAUCAAUGAUUUUGGUAGUGUGACAGAUCAGUGUGCUGUGCUGUUUACUGACAAAUUAGCAAAUUAGUUGUGUGCUCUUUAUCAUGGAGGCAGUGUGCUUUUGAAGUUUUAACUGACAAAUUAGCAAAUUAGCUGUGCUCUUUAUCAUGCAGGUAGUGUGCUUUUUACUGAUUAAUUAGCAAUAGCAAAUUGUGCACACAUUAGUCAUGGAGGUAGUGGGCCAUUAUAGUCCAGUACUACGUCAGCACGAAAAAUCAAAUGAUUUUGUCACUACCUUAUAUAUUGCAAAACUGUAGCAAAUUAGUUGUGAUAAUAAUUUCUGGCCUGAAAACACUGCGGCCGGUUUGUCAUCGUACUUAAUAACCAGUGUAGGAAUUUGAAUGCCCACGUUGCCUUAGAAAUAACUGCUGCUGCCGGUGAUGGAGUUCCUAAUGCAGCCGAUCAGAAGGUAAUAAGCACCUAUGAAUCUGGAUCAGCGGAAACUGGUGGGGGAAAGCUCUGUCUUUAUUUGCUUCGCGGUUUUGUUCUUGUGUUUACCAGGUUCCCUUUGGUCGACGAUUUGGACAAAAGUCAACCGUCCAUGCAUCUGCCGGCUAUCGGGAUAGCGGUGUCUUUCCGGCUCAGGGCAGCAGAAGAACUGCUGAUGGAAUUCGUGAGCGCAGAUGCGGCAAUUUGUGAGGAACAGGCAGGCGUGGAUGGAAGACGGGAGAGCUUGCCCCAGUUAUCUGAGCCCACAACGCAAGCAUUGGGCUGGUAAAAUAGACGGUAAUUACAGCAGGCGAUUGCAACGGUCGACAGGAAUGUCUCGGAGGAGGAUCAGUUUACUUGGCCUUGCGACACUUCAGACACUUACACCAUGAAGUCCACCUAAAGUCGGCUGUGUCAGGGCUUGACACGUUCUGCCACAGCCAAAUGCAUCUGGCGUAGCUAGGCGCCCCUCAAGUGCAAAAUUUUCGCUUGGCUGGCUUCGCAAAACCGGCUAUGGACGUCUGAUCGAAGGGCGUGGCACGGGCUGCAGGACGCUCCUUUGGCAUGCUACACGUGUUGCCAAGAGGAGGAUAACGUGGAUCGCAUCUUGGCAUAAUGUGUCUUUACGAGGCAAGUGUGGCACGGAUGUUUUGAGUAUUUGCAAGUCAACAUACACAUCUCGAGCCAUGGUGAUUCCUUCGUGGAGUGGUGGGGAAGGGUUCGGGAUACUUUACAGGGUUGGACAAGAGAGGUUUCGACUCCUUUGUCAUUGUGACAGCUUGGUAGCUAUGAAAGCAAAGGAAUGCGAGGGUUUUCAAUCGGGUCGACCAAAUCAGAGCACCGGCUAAUCUAGUGCAUCAAAUCUUUGAGAUCAAGUUAUGGAAACUGUUUUUUUUCCUCAG